Molecule: ribosomal RNA, 123 nt
Organism: Erinaceus europaeus (western European hedgehog)
Lineage: Eukaryota; Metazoa; Chordata; Mammalia; Eulipotyphla; Erinaceidae
Source: Ensembl
AUCUGUGGCCAUACCACCUUGAACACACCCAGUCUUAUCUCUGAAGUUAAGCAGGAAUGGGCUUGGUUAGUACUUGGAUGAGAGACUUAUUCCUUCACUUCAGGAAUAUUAGAUGCCCGGUUU